This 362-nucleotide ribosomal RNA is filed under the name uncultured Anoxybacillus sp. Its description in RNAcentral is "bacterial SSU rRNA". It matches the Rfam family "Bacterial small subunit ribosomal RNA", at positions 1020 to 1382 of the family's 1533-position model. The record is from RNAcentral. Lineage: Bacteria; Bacillati; Bacillota; Bacilli; Caryophanales; Anoxybacillaceae.
GGGGGACGAGGGUGACAGGUGGUGCAUGGUUGUCGUCAGCUCGUGUCGUGAGAUGUUGGGUUAAGUCCCGCAACGAGCGCAACCCUCGACCUUAGUUGCCAGCAUUCAGUUGGGCACUCUAAGGUGACUGCCGGCUAAAAGUCGGAGGAAGGUGGGGGAUGACGUCAAAUCAUCAUGCCCCUUAUGACCUGGGCUACACACGUGCUACAAUGGGCGGUACAAAGGGUCGCGAACCCGCGAGGGGGAGCCAAUCCCAAAAAGCCGCUCUCAGUUCGGAUUGCAGGCUGCAACUCGCCUGCAUGAAGCCGGAAUCGCUAGUAAUCGCGGAUCAGCACGCCGCGGUGAAUACGUUCCCGGGCCUU